Molecule: long non-coding RNA, 1516 nt
Organism: Oryctolagus cuniculus (rabbit)
Lineage: Eukaryota; Metazoa; Chordata; Mammalia; Lagomorpha; Leporidae
Source: RefSeq, a predicted model, not a curated record
CCGAGGCGGCGGGAGCCCGGCCUGGCGGGUCCGCCCGACCGCGUCGUCCUGCGGGGCAGGCCUUGCAGGUGUGAGCGGGGUUUUCCUGUCAGACGGACUAACGGUCGGGAAUGUGGUUCUUGGGUUACCGCAUCCUGAGGGCGAGAAAACAUAGGCCCCUGAAGGGACAUUUUGAGGCGAAUGCCGCCGAAUAAAUGAAGAAAGUGCGGAAGUGGGGAGUCAGCGCUUUGGACCUGCCGGGAUAAUGAGGGCUUUGGGUGCCAGUUCCGCACGGGCGGCGGAGAUAGCCGCAGGGUUUCCAGUCACCGCCUGCGCGACUUCCAGAAGAGAUGUCUUCACUUCACAGGCGUCGCCCUGUGACACACAGCCAACGUCGUGUGCCCCGGAUGCCAUGCACGGGGACGCCCAGGUCAUACUCUUGCCGAAAGCAUGUGAUUUAGCUUACCCGUGAGGAAACAGAGAAACUUGCCUUCUGCAAGUCCUCAAAAACACCAGUCUCUUGAAAAAUUAAGGAAAGGCUAAAGGAGACAAGCAAGAUAACACUAAAAGCAAUGUGUGAUCCUAAAUGACCAAUGAAGGCCAUCGUUGAGAAAAUUUCUAUGUAAACCACGUUCGUGUUGUGAAAAAAUAAUUUCUCAAUUUCUUGAGGGCAAUGGGUUAUGCAGAAAUGGCCUUGUUUUUAAGAGAAAUGUGUUUGGAAGUGAAAUAUCUUAUGUCUGCAACUAACUCUCAAAUGAUCCAGAAAAAAAGUGACAAAAUGUUAACGCUGGUCAUUCUAGCUGAAAGACACAUGUGUUCAUUGCACUGUUCUUGAACCUUUAUGGACUCCAAAAUUGUGAUGAGGCCUGGGGAUCCCCUGCUUUGAAGAGGAGGAAGCAUAAGCAAAUCCCUGGUCCACUCCCAGGAGCAGCAGAGCAGAGACAACAGUGGUGAAAGCAUUGAGUUGGACCUGCAUGGGGUUUGGAGGCUUCUUGGAAAUGAUCUUUGGAAAAGUUCAGCUGGACCAGCAGGGAAUGACUUCCAGAGCAAAGAGGCUUUUGGUGCAGCAGUUGAAUUGCCACUUUAUGACACCCUCAUCCCUCAUCCUAUGUUGGAGUGCCUGGCUUCCAGCCCCAGCUCUGCCUCUGAUUCCAGCUUCCUUCUAAUGCACAUCCUGGGAGGCAGCAAGAUGGCUUAAGUAAUUAGGUCCUUGCCACCCAUGUGGGAGACCUGGGUUGAGUUCCAGUUUUCUGGCUUUGACAUGCCCCAACUCUGGCUGUUAUGGGCAUUUGAGGAAUGAGCCUGCAGAUGUGACAGCUUGCUUGCUCUCUUUGGCUGUCUCACAUAGAAUAAAAAAAAUGUUUAAAGAGAUCUUUGGAGUAACCUGGACAAAUAUACUAAUUAAAAAAAAAAGAGAUGGAUUUCAUACCCCACAGUUUCAUAUUUAUAGAUUUAUAGUUUUUAUAGAUGUAUAGUUUUCAUAAUUAUAGAUUUCUAUUUAAUAGCUCGAACAAUUUAUAAUAGCAAAAAAUGGAAA